Molecule: ribosomal RNA, 249 nt
Filed under: Triticum aestivum (bread wheat)
Lineage: Eukaryota; Viridiplantae; Streptophyta; Magnoliopsida; Poales; Poaceae
Description: partial small subunit ribosomal RNA
Source: RNAcentral
AUGGUAGGGUACGAAACCACCUCAAAGUUAUUCUUUCCGAACGAAUGUGGUUCCGAUCCCUCCGGUGAUGCCAGAAGUCGUUUCGAUAUACGAUUUUAUCCGGUUCCUAUUUUAUUUAUUAUCCCUGAUCCGGAAGUCACCUUUUCUUUUCCUUGGGCAGUACCUCCUAACAAGAUUGAUCUGUUUGGAUCUUGGUCCAUGAUGGCCUUUUUAUUGAUUUUGACUCAAUCCAUUGGGCUAUUCCUAUAA